This 419-nucleotide ribosomal RNA is filed under the name uncultured bacterium. RNAcentral describes it as "bacterial SSU rRNA". It matches the Rfam family "Bacterial small subunit ribosomal RNA", at positions 28 to 440 of the family's 1533-position model. The record is from RNAcentral.
GACGAACGUUGGCGGCGCGCUUAAUGCAUGCAAGUCGAGGGAGAAGCGUUGGUUCCGUAAGGUUCCGACGUGGAAACCGGCGAACGGGUGCGUAACACGUGAGAAACCUGCCCCCAGACCGGGAUAGCCCAGGGAAACUUGGAUUAAUACCGGAUACUCUCUCGGGACCGCAUGGUCCCUUGAGGAAAGGUCCGCUGCUGGGGGAUGGUCUCGCGGCCUAUCAGGUAGUUGGUGAGGUAACGGCUCACCAAGCCGAAGACGGGUAGCUGGUCUGAGAGGACGAUCAGCCACACUGGAACUGAGACACGGUCCAGACUCCUACGGGAGGCAGCAGCAGGGAAUAUUGCACAAUGGGCGAAAGCCUGAUGCAGCGACGCCGCGUGCGGGAUGAAGGCCUUCGGGUUGUAACCGCUUUCAGG